AAAAAAAAAGGUUCCUUGAGGUUCUAUAUAGAACCGUGGGGUUCUAUACUUGGCCAAUAGAACCUUUUACCAAAAAAAGGGUUCCAUAUAGAACCCUUGGAAGGCAAAGAACCAUUUUUAUUAAAAUGGUUCUAUAAUUCACGUUUUGUGACUGAAGUGUAAACUAAAGAUUACACAAUAAUUGCAGACCUACACAACUCAUUUACAAACCUACACAACUCAUUCACAAACCUUUUUGUGUCAAUAGGCUGUGGUCAAAUAAAGAGAGAGUCAACAAAUAGGCUAUUAAUAUUUAGUGUAUGAUUUAUUUCCUGUGAGCUUUUUUAUGCAAGUUUGUACAUUAGCAUGAAACUUACAGUGCAGUUUGCGUUUUUGGUGAAUUACCAGGUGUUUUCUUUAUUUUGUACAUUCUAAAUUGUCAAUGUUUAUGUAAUUUAACCUGAAGGGGCAUUAAAAACAAAUAAUCGCAAAAGUGCCCUCUGGUGGCGUAUAUAUGCGUUGCACCAUAAGCGAAGAUGAGCCUCGUGACGUGACAGUUUUUUUUCAAACUGAGGUGAGGAGUUCGGACUCCGGACCGGCAUUUGUUUGUACCCUGAGAUAACCAUGGUUAAUAAAUGAUCAGACACGUCACUGGCUUUAAAAUAUAAACCCCAUUGAUGCAAAAAGAUGAUGCAUGGAAUGACAAUGAGGUUUGGAACAGACUUGAAGAACAUGGAAACAUCUCUAAAUAAAAUGGCCCCAAACAUCAUCAGGAGUGCAAAAGAAGGAAGUAAAAAACAUCUCUACGCCAAUCUCAUUGGAGAGGAAACCACAGAAGGUCUGGUGAGGAAUGCUGCACUUAUGUUAUUGCCAGCAUUAUUUCAAGAAAAUCCCAGCUUCCUUGACUGUGUAAAUAGUGAACCCAAAGGUCCCACACCAACCAUAGUGUUCAACGGCUCUCCUGAUCUUCUCAAAUCUGAAACU
Non-coding RNA from Misgurnus anguillicaudatus (oriental weatherfish), 963 nucleotides. NCBI's taxonomy places the organism in Eukaryota, Metazoa, Chordata, Actinopteri, Cypriniformes, Cobitidae. The record is from RefSeq and is a predicted model, not a curated record.